GACGAACGUUGGCGGCGUGCUUAAUACAUGCAAGUCAACUGAAGCAGUGGUAGCAAUAUCGCUGUGGAGGUGGCGCACGGGUGAGUAACACGUAGGUAAUCUGCCUUCAGGUCUGGCAUAACUCCGGGAAACCGGGGCUAAUAGCAGAUGAUGCAGCGGCUCGACAUCGAGACAGUUGUUAAAGCUAUGGCGCCUGAAGAUGAGCCUGCGUCUGAUUAGCUAGUUGGCGGGGUAACGGCCCAACAAGGCAACGAUCAGUAGCUGGUCUGAGAGGAUGAUCAGCCACACUGGAACUGAGACACGGUCCAGACUCGUACGGGAGGGAGCAGUAAGGAAUAUUGCUCAAUGGGAGAAAUCCUGAAGCAGCAACGCCGCGUGAGGGACGAAGGGCUUUUGCUUGUAAACCUCUGUAGUGAGAGAAAAAAAUCCCAAUCUUUGGGACAUGAUGGUAUCUCAAAAGUAAGCCCCGGCUAACUACGUG
Molecule: ribosomal RNA, 481 nt
Filed under: uncultured bacterium
Lineage: Bacteria
Description: partial 16S ribosomal RNA
Rfam family: Bacterial small subunit ribosomal RNA
Source: RNAcentral